Molecule: long non-coding RNA, 1215 nt
Filed under: Phaseolus vulgaris (common bean)
Lineage: Eukaryota; Viridiplantae; Streptophyta; Magnoliopsida; Fabales; Fabaceae
Description: long non-coding RNA (PVUL_LNC002861)
Source: RNAcentral
CCAAUUGCUACGUUAGAUUUUGCAUCCCUGUAUCCAUCUAUUAUGAUGGCCUAUAAUUUAUGUAAUUGCACUCUGCUGACUUCUGAACCCUCCAGAGUCCGUGAACAGAACUCCAUCUGCAGAAGGGAAUACUUGCUGAAAUACUUGAAGAGCUAUUAACAGCCCGAAAAAGGGCAAAAGCAGACUUACAGGAGGCAAAGGAUCCCCUGGAGAGGGCAGUGCUAGAUGGAAGGCAGCUGGCCCUGAAAAUUAGUGCAAAUUCUGUGUAUGGCUUUACUGGGGCUACCAUUGGUCAGUUACCAUCUUUGGAGAUAUCAUCGACUGUAACAAGCUAUGGUCGACAGAUGAUUGAGCACACAAAAAAACUUGUGGAAGAUAAAUUUAGAACACUUAAUGGCUAUAAACACAAUGCUGAGGUAAUAUAUGGAGACACAGAUUCAGUCAUGGUACAAUUUGGUGUUUCUGAUGCAGAAGAGGGUGUUUCUGCUGUAGAACAGGCUAUGAACUUGGGGAGAGAAGCUGCCGAAUAUAUAAGUGAAACUUUCACAAAACCCAUCAAACUAGAAUUUGAGAAGGUUUAUUUCCAUAUCUAUUGAUUAGCAAGAAGAAAUAUGCUGGUUUGCUUUGGACAAAACCAGACAACUUUGACAAAAUGGACACUAAAGGUAUUGAAACAGUUCGAAGAGACAAUUGUUUGUUGGUGAAAAAUCUGGUGAAUGAUUGUCUUCACAAAAUACUGAUUGACAAGGACACUAAGGGAGCUAUCGAGUAUGUCAAGAACACAAUUUCAGAUCUUUUCAUGAAUCCAAUGGAUUUAUCUCUUCUGGUUAUUACAAAGUGUUUAACAAAGACCCAAGAUAAGUACAAAGUAAAGGCAUGUUCUAGAGAACAACAUACCUAUAGAUACUAAAUACUAUCUUGAGAAUCAAAUUAGCAAGCCGAUUCUGAGAAUUUUUGAGCCAAUUAUCCCGAAUGCUAGCAGAGAACUUUUCCAUGGAGAUCAUACAAGAUCUAUUUCAAUUUCUACUCAAUCAAACAAUAGCACAUUGAAAUUUGUCAAACAGCUUACCUGCAUUGGCUGUAAAGCUGUAGUAGGCAAGGAUCAUCACACUGUCUGUUCACAUUGCAAAGGAAUGGAAACUGAGCUAUACUGAAAAGCAAAAAUGAGCUAUACUGUCUGUUCAUAUUUAUUGAGUGAUUGUAGUUGUUUUCUUC